This 1449-nucleotide unclassified non-coding RNA is filed under the name Hevea brasiliensis (rubber tree). The record is from RNAcentral. Lineage: Eukaryota; Viridiplantae; Streptophyta; Magnoliopsida; Malpighiales; Euphorbiaceae.
GAAAAAGCAAUAAACGAUGCGUAGUCAGGCUGCUUCUCUUUGGUUGAAUUGUGAAGGACUGUUAGGCAUCUUCCCUUGCAUGAGAAAGUCAAUAUUUUAAUACAUUUUAAUACAUGGAGGAUGAUUUAGCUGUUUCUCAAACCCCACAAAGCUACUUUUCUCCACCAACUCCUAGCGUAAGAUGGAUGAGAAUAAUGAGGAAACACAGCAACCUUUGCUCACCACUAACACCACCAGCUACUAUGAGAAUUGCCCAGGUUGCCAGAUUGACCUCUUCAAAGAGACCAAUCCUCGCAUCCCUUUCAAGCUUUUAUUCUAUGUUUGGAUUAUUGUGCUUUGCGCAGCUUUGCCUAUAUCUUCUCUUUUUCCUUUCCUCUAUUUUAUGAUAAGGGACUUCCAUAUUGCAAAAAGAGAGGAAGACAUUGGCUACUAUGCUGGUUAUGUGGGAUCUGCAUAUAUGUUUGGAAGAGCUUUGACUUCUGUACUCUGGGGAGUGAUUGCUGAUCGAUAUGGUCGAAAGCCUGUCAUAAUAUUUGGCAUGAUAACAUUGAUUAUUUUCAAUACCCUAUUUGGGCUCAGUACAAGCUUUUGGAUGGCAAUUUCUACAAGGUUUCUUCUUGGAAGUUUGUGUGGCAUACUUGGUCCGAUGAGGGCAUAUGCAUCAGAAGUUUGCCGAAAAGAAUAUCAAGCUUUGGGAAUGUCAAUUAUAAGCACAUCAUGGGGCAUUGGAUUAGUCAUGGGUCCAGCUCUUGGAGGUUUUCUUGCGCAGCCUGCAGAGAAAUAUGAAAACGUUUUUCCUAAAGAUUCUCUUUUUGGGAGGUUUCCAUACUUUUUACCUUGCCUUUUGAUAUCAAUCUUUGGAUUGGGUGUAUUUGUCCUUUCUUUUUCGCUUCCGGAAACAUUGCACAACCAUAAAGGAAAUGAUGAAGAAUGCCAUGAUUCAUAUGAUAAGCCAGAAAUGAAUGAAGGAAAAAGCCUAGUUUCUGAAGAAAGCCUGCUGAAAAAUUGGCCCUUAAUGUCAUCCAUUAUCGUGUAUUGUGUGUUCCAACUUCAUGACAUGGCCUAUGCAGAGAUUUUCUCAUUAUGGGCAGUUAGUCCUAGGAAGAAUGGCGGAUUGAGCUAUUCCACAGCAGAUGUUGGUGAAGUUCUUGCAAUCUCAGGCUUUGGACUGCUACUCUUUCAACUAUUUUUAUACCCACUGGUGGAAAGAAAUUUGGGACCAGUCAUGGUAUCUCGCAUAGGAGCAGUAUGUCUUUAGCACAACUUCCUUGCAUAUAACUUUUAUUUUUAUUUGCUUGAGUCCCUUUUUCAUGUGAUCUUUUCUUGCUUUUAUAUGUGAAGGUCCUGACUGUGCCAUUGCUGGCUAGCUACCCUUUUAUAGCUUUGCUAAAAGGCCUCGGCCUCACCCUACUGAUUGACUGUGCAUCUGUGCUGAAGAAUGUGCUCUGU